CAAGCCUCAACACCCUGCAUGCAAGUCAGAAGCACUCAAACAGGUGGGCUCUCCUCUAUGAACUUACAGUACAGUAUACUAUGUCUUCCAAAAGGAUAGGAGGAGCUAUGGCACAAGAAUGGAAUGCCUCUAGCACUGGAUGAGAAACACACACCACAACUUACCUUUGAUCCCUAUCAACCUGAUAAAGGUAUGAGACAAACUCAUUAUGUUGUUUUACGAUCGAACUUGAUCAAGCCACAUAUGAAGUAACGUAUGAAGCCACAAUUAGAGGUUUUAAUGAUGUUUCAAUGAAGAACCCACGCAAAAGAAAUAUUACUGUACUCUAAAAGAACCCUGCUAUUUAACAUCAACAGCCCUGAAGGAAACCCCAGAGGAUUCUCUGUGUGUUUUUUUGUUUUAGAUUUUACAUUCUGGUUCCAUACUCAGGGCUGGCACCAAGAUAAACACGCAGCCCUCACUAGAGUUGGUGUAAGUAGUGAUGUGUGGGUGUUUCACAGUAUCGUGCAGUAACAGUAUUUAUUUAUUUAUUUAUUUAUUUAUUUAUCUGUGGUCAUAGUGAAGUUUAACACGUAGUAGCGCACACUGCCUCUGGGCCAGGCCAUACUGAUCCCUGUUUUUAAAUCUCAGCUAAAAGGAAAACGACAUGUUUUGUGCUUUACCAUUGUGGUAGUAUACUAUGUGUGAAACGGUCCUAUCUUAACUACAUUUUGGAACUGAAUUCAUCCAGUUUUGUGAAUCCCAUGUUCACCAAAACAUUAUUUUGGCCUUGAUCCAAUCCCUUUUUUCUUAGGCAGUUUUUAUAUUACUGUGUUUUACAAUCAAAGAUGACCAACAAAGCAGGGUAUUUUUUUUAAACCCAAUAGCAAAACUAUAUAAACUGUACUUAAAAAUAAAGAAAUAAACAGGAGACGUUUUAUCAAUUUUUACUUUGAAUAUUAAGCAGGCAUGCGACAUGCCAGCAGCAGAAUGGAACUCUUGUACAUUUCCCCAUGACAUGCUGUUAACCCUAAUAUUUACAUUAUUUACACUGCCUACCACAGCUUGGUAAUAUGAUAAUAUUUAUAAUGUUGAAACAAGUUUAUAUGUAAAAUACAACAGAAGUCAAGUAUAAUAAACAUAUUUUGUUUUGUAUUUUUUCUUACGAAUGGAAGAUUCUGUUAGUUCAAUGUUUAUAUGAGGCCAACACUGAAAGUUGAACGGGUGAUAUGACACCUAAACGGUUUUAGGGUUCCUAUUACAGUUAGCUCAUAUUAAGAUGGAAGUGACACAGUGGAUGGUGAGGUGUGGAAAAAAGUCUUUAUAUAGCUUUCAGUCUGCCUCUUUUGGAAAAUAUUGCUUCAGUUUAUCCUAUUUUCUUUCCUGUGUGUGAUCUCUGAUGACCACCCACACAGAAAACUAAAAGAAAUGCACACUGAUUAAGCUCUUUAAUGUAGAAACAUCAGAGGAUCUGCUUCUCAGGAUAUUUUAAUUACUUUUAAAGCCUACAUCUAAGUUUUGUUAAAAAAUCACUCUUAUCACUAUACAUAUCACUACUUGCUUUCUAGCUUCCAGAAACUAUAAGUAAUGAUGCUGCACUUAUUGGAGUCUGCAGUUUCUUUAUCUGUAAAAUAAUGCUUUGUUUGCCAAAGUGCACACCAAUAUUUAGAUCACGCUAGUAAAAGACAAAAGUUAUUGGUGUUGAAACUGUAAAACACAUUUGUUCUCUUAACUGUUUAGAGUGAAAAUUUGAAUGAAGCAACAAUUUGCUGUGCUUCUUUUGAAAAUGAAUCAAUAUGCUUGGUUCAUUUCUUUGUAUAUAUUUACAGAGUGAUUAGAAAGUAAGUUUACCACAUCAACGCACCAUAUCAUUGGUGUAGUAAACUUACGUUCUAAUCACCUUGUAUAUUUGCAUUUCAUUUUAACAUUCAUAGAUCUUCCAUACGUUCCAUAAUCCUCUCAAAAGCAUUUGGAGAGUGGGAUUUUUUAGACAGCCCAGUCAGUGUUUAUAUGCA
Molecule: long non-coding RNA, 1994 nt
Organism: Polyodon spathula (Mississippi paddlefish)
Lineage: Eukaryota; Metazoa; Chordata; Actinopteri; Acipenseriformes; Polyodontidae
Exons: 5
Source: RefSeq, a predicted model, not a curated record